UGACUGUGGAGUCUUCAUGUUGAUGGUGAGAUAUUCUGGUUUGAUUUUUUUUUUUUUUUUUUUUGUCGAUAAUGUUUCUUAACUUUUGCUGUUUUCCAGUAUCCUCUACAUCUUGUCAUGGGAGCACCCUUUGAUUUUACAUCUUGCGACUUUCCAAACAUUCAGAGGUGGUAGUUUAAUUCUUCUAGAAAACUUUGGGGGUUUCUCUGAAAGUGCAGAAAUCCCUACAAGACUCGAAAGAAGAGAACAAGCUACGCUUAGCAGCAGUGAAGCAGAGCACCCAAUAAUCUGGCACAUGAAUAAAGCUCUGGAAUGGCUCCAUUCUCCAUUCAUCUAUUCAAGGGUCCAGUGGAGGAGCAUCUUUUCAUUCGAAUGGAUGAAGCUCAGAAGGAGAAAGC
Long non-coding RNA from Carassius carassius (crucian carp), 398 nucleotides. RefSeq lists it as uncharacterized. NCBI's taxonomy places the organism in Eukaryota, Metazoa, Chordata, Actinopteri, Cypriniformes, Cyprinidae. The transcript is spliced from 4 exons. The record is from RefSeq and is a predicted model, not a curated record.